Molecule: long non-coding RNA, 605 nt
Organism: Sipha flava (yellow sugarcane aphid)
Lineage: Eukaryota; Metazoa; Arthropoda; Insecta; Hemiptera; Aphididae
Exons: 5
Source: RefSeq, a predicted model, not a curated record
GGUAUUUCUUGGUUUUUACUUUUUAGUUGUUUCUUAUGUUGUAUUGAAUAAUAUUGAAUUUUCGUUACUAAAAAGGAAUAUGAUUAUAACUGUUAUAUACUUGGUUUUGUUCUUCGGAAAUUUUUUUUUUAUGAUUUGUUUUAGGUAUUUGUUUGAUGGAUUAUUCUUUAUGUGAUAUUGGAUUUAUUUGUCUAUUUCUAUGGAAAGUAUUUUUUGGUUUAUUCCCAACUAUUUUUUAAGUUGUGUUAAAUUGUAUUAGUUUUUAUAUUUAAUUUCAGUAAAACGUGGAUUUUUUUUUUUUUUGUAUCAACAUAAACCAAGGAUUCUUCGGGAGCCAGAACUUGAAUUUUUUAUUGUUUCAACCUAAAGGAGGUGUCCUUCGAGAGCCUGAACCUGGAUUUUUUUUUUGAUCGACCCAAAUCAAUUUUCCUCCGGGAGCCGGGGAUCCCCUUUUCAUUUCUACUUCUGAACAUAACACUUUGAAUAUUUUAUGGAGAUGUCCUUCAAGAACCAGAACUUGGAUUUUUUAUCGUUUCAACCUAAAGAAGGUGUCCUUCGAAAGCCUGGUACCUACUUAUAAUUUUUUUUUCCAUUUCAAAUAUUUA